Molecule: non-coding RNA, 45 nt
Filed under: Schistosoma bovis
Lineage: Eukaryota; Metazoa; Platyhelminthes; Trematoda; Strigeidida; Schistosomatidae
Also listed under: 1 other name
Source: RNAcentral
AUCAAGCUGACGAGUCCCAAAUAGGACAAAACACGCAUCCUUAAU